This 478-nucleotide ribosomal RNA is filed under the name uncultured bacterium. RNAcentral's name for it is "partial 16S ribosomal RNA". It matches the Rfam family "Bacterial small subunit ribosomal RNA", at positions 28 to 507 of the family's 1533-position model. The record is from RNAcentral.
GAUGAACGCUAGCGGCAGGCCUAACACAUGCAAGUCGAGGGAGAAGCCCUUUCGGGGGCAGAAACCGGCGCACGGGUGCGUAACGCGUAUGCAACCUACCUUUCACAGGGGGAUAGCCCGAAGAAAUUUGGAUUAAUACCCCAUAAUAUUAUUGGAUGGCAUCAUUUGAUAAUUAAAACUGCGGUGGUGAAAGAUGGGCAUGCGUCCUAUUAGCUAGUUGGAGUGGUAACGGCACCCCAAGGCUACGAUAGGUAGGGGUCCUGAGAGGGAGAUCCCCCACACUGGUACUGAGAUAGGGACCAGACUCCUACGGGAGGCAGCAGUGAGGAAUAUUGGUCAAUGGUCGGAAGACUGAACCAGCCAUGCCGCGUGCAGGAAGAAUGCCUUAUGGGUUGUAAACUGCUUUUAUAUGGGAAGAAUAAGGCGUACGUGUACGUUGAUGACGGUACCAUAUGAAUAAGCAUCGGCUAACUCCGUG